This 468-nucleotide ribosomal RNA is filed under the name uncultured bacterium. RNAcentral describes it as "partial 16S ribosomal RNA". It matches the Rfam family "Bacterial small subunit ribosomal RNA", at positions 28 to 507 of the family's 1533-position model. The record is from RNAcentral.
GACGAACGCUGGCGGCGUGCUUAACACAUGCAAGUCGAACGGAAAGGCCCUGCUUUUGUGGGGUGCUCGAGUGGCGAACGGGUGAGUAACACGUGAGUAACCUGCCCUUGACUUUGGGAUAACUUCAGGAAACUGGGGCUAAUACCGGAUAGGAGCUCCUGCUGCAUGGUGGGGGUUGGAAAGUUUCGGCGGUUGGGGAUGGACUCGCGGCUUAUCAGCUUGUUGGUGGGGUAGUGGCUUACCAAGGCUUUGACGGGUAGCCGGCCUGAGAGGGGGGCCGGCCACAUUAGGCCUGAGAUACGGCCCAGAAUCCUACGGGAGGCAGCAGGGGGGAACAUUGCACAAUGGGCGGAAGCCUGAUGCAGCAACGCCGCGUGCGGGAUGACGGCCUUCGGGUUGUAAACCGCUUUCGCCUGUGACGAAGCGUGAGUGACGGUAAUGGGUAAAGAAGCACCGGCUAACUACGUG